Molecule: long non-coding RNA, 1155 nt
Organism: Cyprinus carpio (common carp)
Lineage: Eukaryota; Metazoa; Chordata; Actinopteri; Cypriniformes; Cyprinidae
Source: Ensembl
GUGAAAUUCAGACCAAGACUGACUUCAAAGAAAUACUGUAAAGUCUUUCGAUUUUCACUUUUAUAUUUAAUUCAUUUAUUGAUUUAUUUGUAUUUUUAUGUAUUAGAUUAAUGUCAUGCUCUGAACCACCUUUUACCUUUCUGUAUAUGUUAGCUUGCUUUUGCUUUAUCAUAAAUGUUAGCAUGCUAAAUUUGAACAUAUCAAGUAAAAAUCAUUUAAACAAGAAUAAAAGCAUCUUCAGUGAAUGAUGAGAUUCGAAACGUCACUAGACAUUUCUAUACUUAAUAUUUAAUUCAUUCCUGUUUUCUGCUGUGCACUGAAUCCAUCUCAGAUGUCUUAACUCUCUCUCUCUCUCUCUCACACACACACACACACACACACACACACGUACGUCUCAAAAGGCCUUGGCACAUCAUUCACUAUAACUCAAUGCAGGCUUGAAUUUUUAAAGGGCCUCGUUCCACCCCAGGCAGGACUGUUUCUCUGAGAUGCAUUAUGCUGUGUGUUUUGUAUUCUUCACGUCAUUUCGGCCUGAUACUGCCUAAAUGUGCUUCUAAAUCUAACCAAAGAUCUUUUACUUGAUAUCAGAGGCUGAUUUGUGAUUAGAUGUGGAGCCUGAAGGUCAAAAUCACCCUUGAGAGCAUCUCCCAAAGAAUCGCCAGCAGCGCGAGGGCCGGGACGAUGAUGGCCGUCCGCCAGCAGGAGACUGCAGGGGAUCUGGCUGGCAGAGCCGCCUAUAAUCACUGCUGAUGGGCCCUUAUUAGCCACGCUUGUCUGAGGACGUCACCCAGGAGCCCGUGUGGAAGGGGACGGGGACACAUCUGCUGAUCCAAACCACAAUCAUCUCACAUGACUGCAGGCCAGCGGCAAACGCCAAACAGUAUUAUGCAAGGAUAUUGAAUAUAAGAAAUCAAAAGUCACCCAGUUUUUUUGUUCGAUUAGUAAAUGUCUUUUUGAGCAUGAUUUAUGAAACACUGUUUUACAGAAGGAAAACAAGCUUUGAGCCAACAAAAUCCUGAUGGUUACAACAGAGUCAUUGCAUUAUUUUCUAUUCAAUUUCCUUUCAUUUACUUGUGAACGGCAUUUCACGUUGUUUUUAAACCUGUAAAAUAGUACAUAAAUACAGUAAGCACCUCAACAGGAAGAAACAAUAAG